Long non-coding RNA from Drosophila biarmipes, 1686 nucleotides. RefSeq lists it as uncharacterized. The record is from RefSeq and is a predicted model, not a curated record. The transcript is spliced from 3 exons. Lineage: Eukaryota; Metazoa; Arthropoda; Insecta; Diptera; Drosophilidae.
ACCCACACCUGGAGCUCCCCGAGUAAAACUGUGUAGCUGAAUUGCAAAUCUAAUUAGCUGCUAAAGGAAUGCACCGCAGAGAGGGGGCGAAAUUACGGGUAAGUACUCGCACUGGGCAUCCGCUUAUUAAUACUGGUAUGAUGCAACCCUGUAAACAAAUGCGGCUUUAUGUUUGGCACUACUCGUAAUUUGAGCAGUGUUUUGCACUUAAAUUGUGUUGUUUGUGGUGGGAAUACAAAGCAAAAUCAGUAGCUGCUAAUGUUCCUUCUCCCCUUUUAGUUUCCCAUUCCCCUGGUAAGUUCUAACAUGGGAAAACCAAUAUUAUUUUAUCUGCACUCCUAUUGUCUUACUCCUAUAUCAUUGGUGAGGAGCUGAAGCAAUUGUAUACAGUUCAAUAUUACCCAUUUUUAUACCUAAAGAUUUUUUUUUCUUCUCUGUACACCAUAAUGUUCUAGUUAUUACCUAGCCCCGGACAGAACUUGUGGCUGUGUACCGAGGUGUAGGUGUCGCACCAUGUACGUCUGACAUUCCUAGGGAUAUCGCGGUGUGGGCCCAUCACUAUUGGCAAAUCAAAUCAUUUACGGUGCCGAUUGUAAUUUCAUCUAAACACUUGAAAUGUAUCCAGCGGUGUGAUUUCAAUUUAGUUACAAGUCAUGAACACACUUACACUGGUAAACGCUUCUCGAGUGCACACAGCUAUUCUAGACAGCUCUAGACAUUUGCAUACCAAACAGAAAGAGGUGGCAGAUAGUAUUUAGAAAAAGAGAGGCUGUCAGGCACUUUGUUUCCUAAUUUGACCAAAAAAUUUCGAGAUCGAGAUCGAACCCACACACCGAGGCUAUUCAAAAAUUCAGUCAUUAAUGUGAUACAUUAAGACGACUAUAUAGCCAGCUGGUCGAAAGUCCGAGUUCGCCGCCUGCGUUGAAGUCUUUUGAUUGGCAAGAACCGAGAAACGCUGAUGUCAUGGGCAGGGCAGUAAACAAACAAACUUUACUCCACCUGAUUUUUUCAAGUAAUUCUUGUUGUUGUCUGCGGCUGUUCCCCAACUGGCAUUGGAUUUAUUGUAACACAUACCAUGGCGUAUUAUAAUAAAUCAAAUACCACAUACAAUAAUCCAAAAAAUAAAAGAUUAUAAUCUUUUCAAAUUCGACCGAUGACGUGAGAAUGUCUGGGUUUUCGGUGGCUCUCCUCUAGCUAUUGUAUUUCGGCUUUCUUUCGCGGAGUUAUUUUUCAUGGCUGGGCGCCCUGACUAAACAUUCGUAUUGGUCAUGGCAUUUUGACGAAAUAUAAAUGCGUGGCACACAUGCCCGCACUUGCUCCCCAACUAACAAGCGAUGAAAAAUUGCAAAUUGCUUGGGAAAUUAUCUGAUGCUCAUAAUGAAAACGUUUGUCAGAACCAUUCGACAUAGAUCUUGACGAUUUGGCGCACACCGGUUGCCUUGGGGAUCUUGGCAACUUAUUAUUUUAACUCAGCAAUUGAGCGGCUUAGGAAGUUUACGUGGCAGCCGCAAGGUUACAUGAAGAUUUGUGGCUCCCAAAUGUCAAUUUAAAUUUUUUUCCUUGUCUUGAAAAUUUAAAUAUUUUAAUGCAAAAAGUUUGUUCAAACAAAAAUAAUAGUAACUGCAAAAAUAAUUUUUCAAAAAUAAUUGUUCUUAUAUUUUCUAUGAUUUUUCAAAGGUGACAACG